GCGCUCGCUUUGGCAGCACAUAUACUAAGAUUGGAGUGAUACAGAGAAGAUCAGCGUGGCCCCUGUGCAAGGGUGACAAAUUCGUGAAGCGUUCUAUAUUAAA
This is a small nuclear RNA of Zalophus californianus (California sea lion), 103 nucleotides long. NCBI's taxonomy places the organism in Eukaryota, Metazoa, Chordata, Mammalia, Carnivora, Otariidae. The record is from Ensembl.